Molecule: long non-coding RNA, 480 nt
Filed under: Triticum aestivum (bread wheat)
Lineage: Eukaryota; Viridiplantae; Streptophyta; Magnoliopsida; Poales; Poaceae
Description: long non-coding RNA (TAES_LNC026188)
Source: RNAcentral
UUGGAUUUCCUGGAGCGACAAAAAUCCUGGAAGAAGAUACUAUUGCUGCAUGCUCAGGAUUGUAAGAUCCUCAUCUUCCUCCUUUAAACUGAAUAUCUUCAUUCCUUUUUGAGAUUUCCCAUUUUUUUAUUGUUUGGAACUGUUGUCUAUUUUGAUUCAGACCGAUGGCAUGGCUAGAACAGGGGAGGAGAAGUGGAGCAGAGGCUGUACUGGCACAACAAAUUCAUGAGAAGAAUGAAGAAAUUAAAGGAAUAUUGGCUAGGUCUAAAAGGAUGGAGAGAAGUGCAAUGUAUAACAGUGUAACAGUGUAGUUGUUGGUCUAUUUGCAGGAUUUCUGCUAGGUAGAGGAUCAAUGUAAUGGUUGGAUGAUGUAAUGGCAGGAUCUAUGUUUUGUAGAGUACAUUUGUGUCAUCUGCCAGUGAUAUUAAUUCCUUUUGUGCACUUUCAAAUAUUUGUGAUGAUUAUGAGUGCAAAUUUUCC